CGAGCGAACGGACGAGAAGCUUGCUUCUCUGAUGUUAGCGGCGGACGGGUGAGUAACACGUGGAUAACCUACCUAUAAGACUGGGAUAACUUCGGGAAACCGGAGCUAAUACCGGAUAAUAUUUUGAACCGCAUGGUUCAAAAGUGAAAGACGGUCUUGCUGUCACUUAUAGAUGGAUCCGCGCUGCAUUAGCUAGUUGGUAAGGUAACGGCUUACCAAGGCAACGAUGCAUAGCCGACCUGAGAGGGUGAUCGGCCACACUGGAACUGAGACACGGUCCAGACUCCUACGGGAGGCAGCAGUAGGGAAUCUUCCGCAAUGGGCGAAAGCCUGACGGAGCAACGCCGCGUGAGUGAUGAAGGUCUUCGGAUCGUAAAACUCUGUUAUUAGGGAAGAACAUAUGUGUAAGUAACUGUGCACAUCUUGACGGUACCUAAUUAGAAAGCCACGGCUAACUACGUGCCAGCAGCCGCGGUAAUACGUAGGUGGCAAGCGUUAUCCGGAAUUAUUGGGCGUAAAGCGCGCGUAGGCGGUUUUUUAAGUCUGAUGUGAAAGCCCACGGCUCAACCGUGGAGGGUCAUUGGAAACUGGAAAACUUGAGUGCAGAAGAGGAAAGUGGAAUUCCAUGUGUAGCGGUGAAAUGCGCAGAGAUAUGGAGGAACACCAGUGGCGAAGGCGACUUUCUGGUCUGUAACUGACGCUGAUGUGCGAAAGCGUGGGGAUCAAACAGGAUUAGAUACCCUGGUAGUCCACGCCGUAAACGAUGAGUGCUAAGUGUUAGGGGGUUUCCGCCCCUUA
This 798-nucleotide ribosomal RNA is filed under the name uncultured Staphylococcus sp. RNAcentral's name for it is "bacterial SSU rRNA". It matches the Rfam family "Bacterial small subunit ribosomal RNA", at positions 63 to 842 of the family's 1533-position model. The record is from RNAcentral. Lineage: Bacteria; Bacillati; Bacillota; Bacilli; Caryophanales; Staphylococcaceae.